RNAcentral lists this long non-coding RNA (3032 nucleotides) under Phaseolus vulgaris (common bean). Its description in RNAcentral is "long non-coding RNA (PVUL_LNC003354)". The record is from RNAcentral. Lineage: Eukaryota; Viridiplantae; Streptophyta; Magnoliopsida; Fabales; Fabaceae.
UUUUAUCAUCAGGUUCAUUUCGAGCAAAAAAUGGUUCAAUUUUAAUUCUCGAAGAUAUGAACCCAAUUUAGUUUUUGAAUCACUUAUAAUUUAAUUAAAAUGGAAUAUUGUAAAUAUGCUAUCACUCCGUCAGGAUAACAAAUAUGAAUAAUUUUUUUUUCAAAUGUAAAUAUACAGAAAGAGAACAAGAAAUUGAUCGAGUUAAAUCCUUUAGAUUAUUUAAAAUUACAUUACUGCUAUUUUAUAUAGUGAUUAUUUUAAAGUAAAAUUUGAAGUUUGUAAAAAUCCACAUAACCUAAAAAAACAAUAUGCGAAUGAAUUUCUCCUCCAUCCCUCAAAAGAGGACAACAAUAGUAAUAAUAAAAUCUUUGUUAUGGGAAAACAGGGUCAACGGUCAACCCCACACAUUUGCCACCAUUUUUCUGUCCAUUGGUUUUCUUCUCUCUCUCUCCCCUUCACACACAAACUGGACGACCUUUUCAACCCUCUUCUUCCCCUGAUAUUUUUUUAGAAAACCAGCAUAAGGAAAAAAUAAGCCUAUCAAAAUCCAAAAUGAAGUAAUUAAGGAAAAGAAAAAUUAAAAAAACAAAAACACAAAGCGGAUAAUUCUCCAAUGUUGUCUUUGCAUCUUUUAUCGUUCUGAAACAAUUUUCAUUGUCUGUUUUCUCUGACGAAAACCAAUCAACAAUCAUCGUCACAAUCACAAUGGAACAGAACCUCAACGAUAAUUCUAGCAGUCUCCCUCCUAAAGAGGAGAACAUCAACACAGACCACACUACUCACUCGCCGGUCGUGGAAUCUGAAGACAAACCCGACGGCGAAACUGAAAAAGCCACAGAUUCAGAACAAGUUCUGGAAAAGGAAGAAUCCAAAGCGGAGGAGGAAAAUGAAAAGAAAGAAGAAGAAAAAGAACAAGAACAAGAACAGGAAAAAGUAGAAGAAGAAACCGUGGAGACUCAACCGGAAUCUCCGGCUCCGAGUCUCGAGAAGGUUACAGAAGAGAUUGACCAAUUUAUCUUGAGAUUACAAAAACAUGUCGAUGCCAAAGAAUCUACCUCAUUGGAAAUCCCUAAUUUCAUCCACGCUUUCUUGCAUCUGGUGGAACACAAGAUAGAGAAAUACGACACAGGUGAAACGAAAUGGGGACAAACAAUUGAAGACGAUUCGUCGCUUUUGGAAUGCGCGAAUCGCAUUUCGAGGCUGAUGAACCAUUUCAUAGAGUACUCGCGGUCUCACACACAGGAACAACAAGAGGACGAGGAGAAGGAGAAGGAGAAGGAGAUGGGCGGAUUAGACUUCGUUAUCAACGGCAUCAGCGUGAUUCAGCAGCGCGUGAUAUCGUUUUUGGAGGACGAGUUCCGUACACUGAUGGAAGAAUUUAGAAACCCAAACAAACCAGAUUCAAAGGGGAAACAACAGGUGGCAGACUCCUCAGAGUCAGAGACACCAGAAGAAACCAUUCCCGAAUUCCCAGGUUUCGCGGAGGAAACCAUUGCGAAUCUGAACAAAAUCGCCAAGCAAAUGAUAGCCAGCGGUUACGAAAACGAGUGUUGCCAAGUGUACGCAGUUUCGCGGAGGCACGCGUUCGAGGAUGGCAUGUACAAACUUCUAGGGUACGAGAAGUUCAGCAUAGACGAGGUUCAGAGAAUGCAGUGGGAGGCACUGGAGCGCGAAAUCCCCACAUGGAUCAACACCUGGAAGGAGUGCACCUCCGUAUGGUUCCCCGCCGAGAGAAAGCUAGUGGAAAUGGUGUUCGGCGACGAAGCCGAGACGGUGCUGAGCCUCAUGGGCAACAUCUCCCGCACAAUUGUGAUUCAGCUGCUUAAUUUCGGGGAGAGCAUAGCCAUGACAAAGCGCGCAGGGGAAAAACUGUUCAAACUCUUGGACAUGUACGAGACUCUACGAGACGCGAUUCCAAUAAUGGAGAACUUGUUCCCGGACGACAUAAUGGGGGAAAUCAAGGCAGAAACGACAUCCGCAAAAUGCCGCCUCGGCGAGGCGGCGGUGUUGAUAUUCUGCGACCUGGAGAACUCGAUUAAAUCGGAGACCGGAAGAACUCCGGUGGCGGGGGGCGCGGUGCAUCCCCUGACACGUUACAUCAUGAACUACCUAAGGCUAGCGUGCGAGUAUAAAGACACAUUGGAGGAAGUGUUCAAAGAGCAUUCGAAAAUCGAGCGCGCGGAUUCAACCAGCAGGCCUCGCCACGAAAGCGAGGAGAGCAAAGCGAAGAGCGAGAGCAAACAGAAAGAGGACGUGUCGCCGUUUGCCGCACAGUUAAUGCGGGUGAUGGAGCUUCUGGACUCGAAUCUGGAGGGGAAGGCGAAGUUGUACAAGGAGGUUGCGUUAAGCUGCAUUUUCAUGAUGAACAAUGGAAGGUACAUAGUGCAGAAGAUAAAAGGUUCAGCAGAGAUAUACCAGGUGAUGGGAGAAACGUGGUGUCGUAAGAGAUCGACGGAGCUGAGGACUUACCACAAGAACUACCAGGUGGAGACGUGGAGCAAGAUUCUGAGUUGCCUGAGCCCGAAAGGAUUGAGCGAUCACGGGAAGGUGCAGAAGCCGGUGCUGAAGGAGAGGUUCAAGGGGUUCAACGCAGCGUUUGAGGAGAUCCACAAGACGCAGAGCAUGUGGGUAGUUAGCGAUGAACAGCUUCAAUCGGAACUUAGGGUUUCCAUCUCUGCCCUCGUGAUUCCUGCCUACAGAUCCUUCUUGGGGAGGUUCUCACAGAUUUUGGAUCCUGGCAGACAAACCGAGAAGUAUAUCAAGUACCAAGCUGAGGAUAUUGAGACUUACAUUGACGAUUUGUUCGAUGGCAACCCACACACCCGUCGCUAGCUACAGACCAACAACACCACUCCGCACCACACAUCACAUCACACUUCAAUGUAUUAUCAAUCAAAUUCAUAGUAUUAUUAUUAUUAUGACCUUUCUUUUCUUUUGUAUACAUGCAGGAUUAAUUUUGUUAGUCUUUAGGGUUCGUGACUGAGUUGUAUUCAAUUUUUCAAGUCACCCCAUUACCUUUUUCUUUUCUUUUU